UUUAAGGUCUAGCCUGCCCAAUGAGGAUUUAAAUGGCCGCAGUAUUUUGACUGUGCAAAGGUAGCAUUAUUAUUAGUUUUUUAAUUGGAAGCUUGUAUGAAGGGUUGGACGAAAUAACAUCUGUCUCUAUUUAAAUUAAGUUAGAAUUUAACUUUUAAGUCAAAAGGCUUAAAUGGUAAUAAAAGACGAGAAGACCCUAUAGAUCUUUAUUUAAUUAAGACUUUAAUAAUUUAGGAUUAUUUUAGUUUGAAUUUUUAAUUAAAUUUUAUUGGGGUAAUAUAAAGAUUAAAUUAAUUCUUUUUAUUUAAUACAUUGAUUUAUGAUUAUAUGAUCCAGUAUUACUGAUUAUAAGAUUAAGUUACCUUAGGGAUAACAGCGUAAUUUUUUUGGAGAGCUCUUAUCGAUAAAAAAGUUUGCGACCUCGAUGUUGGAUUAAAAAUUAUCUUGGGUGCAGAAGCUCAGGAUUUUGGUCUGUUCGACCAUUAAAUUUUUACAUGAUCUGAGUUCAGACCGGCGUGAGCCAGGUCGGUUUCUAUCUUUAUUAGUUUAAAAUAUUUUAGUACGAAAGGACCAAAUAUUUGAUAUAGUUAUAUUUAAUUUUUGAAUAGUAUUAUUACUUUGGCAGAAUAGUGCAAUGAAUUUAGAAUUCAUGAAUGUAAUUAUAUUACAAGUAAUACUUGUAUUUGGGAGACUUAUUAUUAAUAAUUGUGUAUAUAUUGAUUCUUGUAAUUUGUGUAUUAGUGGGGGUAGCCUUUUUAACUUUAUUGGAGCGUAGGGUAUUAGAAUAUAUUCAGAUUCGUAAGGGACCCAAUAAGGUAGGAUUU
Molecule: ribosomal RNA, 824 nt
Filed under: Opilidia chlorocephala
Lineage: Eukaryota; Metazoa; Arthropoda; Insecta; Coleoptera; Carabidae
Description: partial large subunit ribosomal RNA
Rfam family: Bacterial large subunit ribosomal RNA (bases 1-563)
Source: RNAcentral